AGCAGAGCAGCUCAGCUGAGCCUGAGUCAGCCCAAGUGCAGUCGCCUGCAGAGUGGGAGCAAGCCCUCGCUCGUUCUCGGAACCCACCCACUGAAGGCCAGGAGGGUUUCAGCACAGCACGUUCGUGCAUUAGCUGAUGCUAUGGUCUGAGCGCUUGUGUCCCCAGAAUUCACAGGUUAAUGUCCUCACCCCUGAGUGAUGGCAUUAGGAGGGGGUGCUUGUGGAUGGAGAUGAGGCCUUGAGGGUGGAUGGGUUUGGCACUUGCAUAAGAGGCCCCAGGGCCCUUUCUUACUGUCUUUCCACCACAUGAAGGCAUGCCGAGAAGACAGGAGAGAGAGCUCUCCCCGAGCUGGCACCCUGAUGUCAGACUGCGCCUCUGGGAUGGUGAGAAAUAGGGCAUCGGAGCAGCCUGAACCAAGACACUGCCCGAGGACAGAGGGUCACCGCCCUGUACCCCAUUCCUGCAGGGGCACACGAGCUAGCUCAUCAUUUACGGAGUUCUGGUCAAGGAAAUGAAUGGGCUAUGAAAUGAAACUAGCUCCGUGAAUGGGUCUUUCCGGAUGUGAUACUGACUUUGAAUCGCAAAUUGAGCUUGCCAGAAAUACUGGCUGCAUCUCAAAAGAAUGCCUCCAUCGAGCUUUCCCAGUGGCAGAGGCAGCAAGGAAAUGGAUGCAAAGCUGUCCCCGCAGCUCUGACGAUGUUUCUAGUCCUGCUCUCGAGGGCUGACUCUCAGGUCUAGACUGGAAGGCGACCAGUGGAAGCACACUGCCGCCGUUUCGUAGGGUUAUAAAGCCGGAACUGUACGGAUGCCUGAAUUGGUCAGUAUCGACAGAGCGUCGAAAAGGGCACAUUCCAGCAGAGCGUCAUAGGACGCGAGGAAAUCACCUUAGCUUUUCUUAUUCUGUGUGCAGAAAAAUUCCCGGCUUGUCCACAAGACGGCAGACCGGUCAGACGGCGUGUCCUCCACAGGCUCCUUAAUGCACAUGGGCUUUAGAAUGGAUUUCUUCAUCCUAACUGAGGAACGAGAACUUGGAGCAGCCAACCUCACCCUUUUGCUGAUGUCAGCCUAGCCCAGGCUUUUUGAAGUCUGUCCUUCUGUGAUCUCUUUGUUCUCAGCAUCUCGCACCGUGCCUGGUACAGAGAAAGGCUAGAACGUGUUGACUGACGCGUCAACCUUGCUGAGCAUCUAGGUUAUUGCAGUGCAUGGGUGCGUGUUCACGGCCCUGUCCAGUGUGUCGCCUGGGAGCCUCAAGGCUCUGCAAGGACCUAGACCCAGGAAGAACCUCACGAAUGGGGCAGGCAGAAACCUGGGAUGGGGGCAAGCAACCAAGAGCCACAAACACCAGAAGUCUGAAGUCUGAGUGUAGAUAAGUUGUGCUGACUCCUAUUUGUGAUGAUUCGUUUUCGAAUGCUUCAUGACGUGUGAAUGUGGUACAUCCACGAAUCCUAACCUGUACAGACACCUAGGAUGACUUCGCCAGCCCUGUAAGGAGGGGGACACUGCAACGUUUGUGCCUUGUAAGGUGCACAGUCUUCAGGCCCUAGAGUCUGAGGGGUCAGCAAACUAUGUUCCAUGGGCCAACUCUGGCUUUCUAGGAACACAGUGUAACUGGAACACGCAGUCUCCACUUGAGAACAGUGUUGAGCGUCAUUUGCACUAUAAAGACAAAGUCAAAUCCUUGCAGGAUUCGAGGCCGUGUGGUUGUCAAGGUCUGAAAUAUUUUGUCUGGUGCCUUCCAUCGGGAAGAACGAAACAGCUGUUGCUAUCUCUUCUAUUUCAUGAUACUUGAAGGAUAGUUUGGUAAGGGAUCCUUUCUUUACCUCGUUAUUUUCUUCCUUUUCACUUUAGAAGAUUCUCACUGUUCUUUUGUGUUAUGAUUAAGAUGUUUAAUGCCACCCCAAUUUUUUCUUUAGUUUUGUAAGUGGAUUUCUAUUUGCUGGGAAAUUAUUCUUCUUCUAUGGAAAACCAAUGGUUUUAACAGAACGUGUUUGGGGAUUGAUGAGUAUCAGCCAAUUUUCUCAUCUACACAGACUCAGGUCAUCCUUUUUCCCCAUAAGAUUAUUAAAUUAACAAUUUAUGUAUA
Long non-coding RNA from Tupaia belangeri chinensis (Chinese tree shrew), 2084 nucleotides. RefSeq lists it as uncharacterized. The transcript is spliced from 2 exons. The record is from RefSeq and is a predicted model, not a curated record. NCBI's taxonomy places the organism in Eukaryota, Metazoa, Chordata, Mammalia, Scandentia, Tupaiidae.